UUUUUAAGAGCUUCUGAAAAGGACAUAGCCCCUCCUCCUGAAGAAUGCCUUCAACUCCUCAGCAGAGCCACCCAGGUGUUCAGAGAGCAGUACAUUCUCAAACAGGACUUGGCAAAGGAGGAGAUUCAGCGGAGGGUCAAAUUAUUAUGUGACCAAAAAAAGAAACAACUAGAAGAUCUCAGUUAUUGUCGAGAAGAGAGGAAAAGUCUGCGGGAAAUGGCUGAGCGUUUAGCUGACAAAUAUGAGGAAGCUAAAGAAAAACAAGAGGAUAUCAUGAACAGGAUGAAAAAACUACUUCACAGUUUUCACUCUGAGCUCCCAGUUCUCUCUGAUAGUGAGCGAGACAUGAAGAAAGAAUUACAGCUGAUACCUGAUCAACUUCGACAUUUGGGCAAUGCCAUCAAACAGGUUACUAUGAAAAAGGACUAUCAACAGCAAAAGAUGGAGAAGGUGUUGAGUCUUCAAAAACCCACCAUUAUUCUCAGUGCCUACCAGCGAAAGUGCAUUCAGUCCAUCCUGAAGGAGGAGUAAGUAAAUAUUUCCAAUCA
Molecule: small RNA, 548 nt
Filed under: Pan troglodytes (chimpanzee)
Lineage: Eukaryota; Metazoa; Chordata; Mammalia; Primates; Hominidae
Description: retained intron
Source: RNAcentral